Molecule: unclassified non-coding RNA, 215 nt
Filed under: Hevea brasiliensis (rubber tree)
Lineage: Eukaryota; Viridiplantae; Streptophyta; Magnoliopsida; Malpighiales; Euphorbiaceae
Source: RNAcentral
GGAUGGCCAGAUCAAGACUGAACCUAUGCCAACCUUGAAUUUUAAUAGGACUAGUUUAAGCUGGGAUGUGUUAAGUUCAGAUUCCAGUGGGUUGAAUCCGAGUGAAGUUUUUGAUGAUGGUGAUGGGGAUAAUGAUGGAUGGGAAUUCAAGGGUGCGGAUUCCAAGCCCCAGGCUGGAGAUGAGACGGAUGGCCAGAUCAAGACUGAACCUAUGC